CACGUAGUUAGCCGUGGCUUAUUCGACAGGUACCGUCUUCUGCCCUUCCCUGUCAAAAGAAGUUUACAACCCGAAAGCCUUCUUCCUUCACGCGGCGUUGCUGGGUCAGGCUUGCGCCCAUUGCCCAAUAUUCCCCACUGCUGCCUCCCGUAGGAGUCUGGGCCGUAUCUCAGUCCCAAUGUGGCCGGCCAACCUCUCAGUCCGGCUACUGAUCGUCGCCUUGGUAGGCCGUUACCCUACCAACUAGCUAAUCAGACGCGAGGCCAUCUCUCAGCGAUAAAUCUUUGGUACCAGUACCAUGCGAUACCCGUACGUUAUGCGGUAUUAGCAGUCGUUUCCAACUGUUGUCCCCCUCUGAAAGGCAGGUUCCUCACGCGUUACUCACCCGUCCGCCACUAAGUAGUCCUCUCCAUUGACCGAAAUCUCUUUCGAGGGUACUCCGUUCGACUUGCAUGUGUUAAGCACGCCGCCAGCGUUCGUCCUGAGCCAGGAUCAAACUCU
RNAcentral lists this ribosomal RNA (501 nucleotides) under uncultured Oscillibacter sp. RNAcentral describes it as "partial 16S ribosomal RNA". Lineage: Bacteria; Bacillati; Bacillota; Clostridia; Eubacteriales; Oscillospiraceae. The record is from RNAcentral.